GCCCUAGUGGCACAAUGAUUAAGUGCUCAACUGCUAAUAGAAAGGUUGGUGGUUCAAAUCCACCCAGGGGCU
This 72-nucleotide transfer RNA is filed under the name Loxodonta africana (African savanna elephant). It matches the Rfam family "tRNA". Rfam says of the family: Transfer RNA (tRNA) molecules are approximately 80 nucleotides in length. Their secondary structure includes four short double-helical elements and three loops (D, anti-codon, and T loops). Lineage: Eukaryota; Metazoa; Chordata; Mammalia; Proboscidea; Elephantidae. The record is from Rfam by way of RNAcentral.